CACACUGGGACUGAGACACGGCCCAGACUCCUACGGGAGGCAGCAGUGGGGAAUAUUGCGCAAUGGGCGAAAGCCUGACGCAGCAACGCCGCGUGGAGGAUGAAGGCUCUUGGGUUGUAAACUCCUUUCAGCAGGGAAGAGAUUGACGGUACCUGCAGAAGAAGCCCCGGCCAACUACGUGCCAGCCGCCGCCGUAAGAC
Molecule: ribosomal RNA, 200 nt
Filed under: uncultured bacterium
Lineage: Bacteria
Description: partial 16S ribosomal RNA
Rfam family: Bacterial small subunit ribosomal RNA
Source: RNAcentral